AGAGCGAACGCUGGCGGCAGGCCUAACACAUGCAAGUCGAACGGACCCUUCGGGGUUAGUGGCGGACGGGUGAGUAACACGUGGGAACGUGCCUUUAGGUUCGGAAUAGCUCCUGGAAACGGGUGGUAAUGCCGAAUGUGCCCUUCGGGGGAAAGAUUUAUCGCCUUUAGAGCGGCCCGCGUCUGAUUAGCUUGUUGGUGAGGUAAUGGCUCACCAAGGCUACGAUCAGUAGCUGGUCUGAGAGGAUGACCAGCCACAUUGGGACUGAGACACGGCCCAAACUCCUACGGGAGGCAGCGAGUGGGGAAUCGUUGCGC
Molecule: ribosomal RNA, 317 nt
Filed under: uncultured soil bacterium
Lineage: Bacteria
Description: bacterial SSU rRNA
Rfam family: Bacterial small subunit ribosomal RNA
Source: RNAcentral